AGUGAGCGCUGGCGGUAGGCCUAACACAUGCAAGUCGAACGGCAGCACAGUAAGAGCUUGCUCUUACGGGUGGCGAGUGGCGGACGGGUGAGGAAUACAUCGGAAUCUACUUUUUCGUGGGGGAUAACGUAGGGAAACUUACGCUAAUACCGCAUACGACCUACGGGUGAAAGCAGGGGAUCUUCGGACCUUGCGCGAUUGAAUGAGCCGAUGUCGGAUUAGCUAGUUGGCGGGGUAAAGGCCCACCAAGGCGACGAUCCGUAGCUGGUCUGAGAGGAUGAUCGGCCACACUGGAACUGGGACACGGUCCAGACUCCUACGGGAGGCAGCAGUGGGGAAUAUGGGACAAUGGGCGCAAGCCUGAUCCAGCCAUACCGCGUGGGUGAAGAAGGCCUUCGGGUUGUAAAGCCCUUUUGUUGGGAAAGAAAAGCAGCAGGUUAAUACCCCGCUGUUCUGACGGUACCCAAAGAAUAAGCACCGGCUAACUUCGUG
RNAcentral lists this ribosomal RNA (492 nucleotides) under uncultured bacterium. RNAcentral describes it as "partial 16S ribosomal RNA". It matches the Rfam family "Bacterial small subunit ribosomal RNA", at positions 29 to 507 of the family's 1533-position model. The record is from RNAcentral.